Long non-coding RNA from Corvus hawaiiensis (hawaiian crow), 319 nucleotides. RefSeq lists it as uncharacterized. The record is from RefSeq and is a predicted model, not a curated record. The transcript is spliced from 3 exons. NCBI's taxonomy places the organism in Eukaryota, Metazoa, Chordata, Aves, Passeriformes, Corvidae.
UGAGACAGACUGAGCCUCAUUUUCCAGGUGUGAAACCCAUCAAGACGAGUCAAUGCUGGAGCACCUCAUAUUUGCUACCUAAAGGAGAAGACCACAGGAGGAGCUGACUGUUGGAGGGAGCAGGGGACUUCCAACCUGAUCCAGAGAACAACCAGAAAGACUGUGGGUCUGCUGUCUCCAGAGGCUGGAGAGGAAGUUGGGGGUAGCUGGAAGGUUGGAUGGAGACACAGCAGGGGCAGGUAAUCCCAACUGACCGAAGGGAUAUUCCAGAUGAUGUGACAUCAUGCUCAGUAUAUAAGGUGAGGGGAAGAAGAAGGAA